This 374-nucleotide ribosomal RNA is filed under the name uncultured organism. Its description in RNAcentral is "partial 16S ribosomal RNA". It matches the Rfam family "Bacterial small subunit ribosomal RNA", at positions 527 to 896 of the family's 1533-position model. The record is from RNAcentral.
GUAGGUGGCAAGCGUUGUCCGGAAUUACUGGGCGUAAAGCGCGCGCAGGCGGUUCUUUAAGUCUGAUGUGAAAGCCCACGGCUCAACCGUGGAGGGUCAUUGGAAACUGGAGAACUUGAGUACAGAAGAGGAAAGCGGAAUUCCACGUGUAGCGGUGAAAUGCGUAGAGAUGUGGAGGAACACCAGUGGCGAAGGCGGCUUUUCUGGUCUGUAACUGACGCUGAGGCGCGAAAGCGUGGGGAGCAAACAGGGAUUAGAUACCCUGGUAGUCCACGCCGUAAACGAUGAGUGCUAAGUGUUAGGGGGUUUCCGCCCCCUUAGUGCUGCAGCUAACGCAUUAAGCACUCCGCCUGGGGAGUACGGCCGCAAGGCUG